Molecule: long non-coding RNA, 1359 nt
Organism: Dermochelys coriacea (leatherback sea turtle)
Lineage: Eukaryota; Metazoa; Chordata; Testudines; Dermochelyidae
Exons: 2
Source: RefSeq, a predicted model, not a curated record
UGCUCAUAUAAAUUUGUUAGUCUCUUAGGUGCCACAAGUACUCCUUUUCUUUUUGUGGAUACAGACUAACAGCUGCUACUCUGAAACCUGUCAUUUUACAAGAAAUGUAAGCCUUGACAUGAUAUAGAGUCAUACUAAUUAAAUACAGCAUAAUUUUUGUCCCUGUUACUCAAUUAUGCACUGAGCAAAAGGUUUUCAUAUAACAGGAUAUAAAAUAACUGCAAUUUUCAAUUCCUUCCAGCUACUGUCACUACUGGAUUCCAUAAACUGAAAAGGGUUAACUACCUGUAAAUAUAAGCAUCCUUACCUACACUCUCGUCUCUCCAUCUUUUUAAAAAUUAGAGCUCAUAUCUGUAAAAUCAGAGAUCAUAUCUGUUUUUUCUCAUUAGCACUCAUGCUGAUGAUUAAACUUGCAAUAUUAAAGGCUUUGAAGUAUCCCCGCCCUUUUGGCUCUUCACUUGCAGUUACAAGUGAUGAGGAGCAGACAGUCAUUCUCUUACCAGAGCCAGGCUGUAAAUUGUUUGUACUGCACCUCUUCAGGAUCCUCUUUUCCAUGUUUUAACUGCAUCUCCAGCUCUGCCCGUCUCCCCUGCAGAAUCACAACAUAAAUCAGAAGGAAAUCUUACAUGGGUAAUAAUCUUGAAAUUUCUGUAGGGAACACUUGUGUAAUGGAUGUAACCUCUCCCUUGAGAUUCAUAUCAUGACUGGACCUAAUUGUUCUUGAUACUAUAUCCCAUUGUAAUAUACAAGUGAAAGAACUGCUAUUUUUGAUUCUGGGAAGAGUGGAGUGGUUGCUACAGACAGAAAUAAUCGCUCCAGCUUCCUAAUGAUGGAAGGAAACUUAUUCCCUUGUAACAAAGAAGGAUUGACAAACUUGUAUCCCACAGGGAAGAAGAUUUGGAAACCAACUACCUCAAAGGAUAACAUGACCCAGAAACACCAAAACCAACAGGAAAAAUGCAGAAGUUGCAUAACUGAAGCUUGGACUUGAGUAACGUAGGGAUUACAUUAAAAAAAAAAAAACCAAGUGGUGAUAUGCUAGAAGCCAACUGGAUAAAGAUUAAAUAAUUUGUAAUGUGAAGAUUUAUAAGGAUCCAAGUGAACAGGGGCCCAAACUGGAGAAGCACUGCACCAGAAACUGAAGGAUGCGACUGAAGGACCAAACAAUGAGAUCGGGGAGGAGACGACGGCCAUCAUGGAAAGACUUCUCAGUGCUCUUUAAUGUGGUAACCUGGGCCCAUUUACCUAUUCUGUCUUGUCUGUUAUUAUUUGUCUGUCUUAAAUUUAUGUCCAGACACUAAGUAAUAAUAAUUCUGUCUGAAAUUGUAUAAGUAAAGACAAAAACUGAUUAAGCCUAAA